UUUUUUUGGUCAGACGAACGCUGGCGGCGUGCCUAAUACAUGCAAGUCGAGCGGACAGAAGGGAGCUUGCUCCCGGAUGUUAGCGGCGGACGGGUGAGUAACACGUGGGUAACCUGCCUGUAAGACUGGGAUAACUCCGGGAAACCGGAGCUAAUACCGGAUAGUUCCUUGAACCGCAUGGUUCAAGGAUGAAAGACGGUUUCGGCUGUCACUUACAGAUGGACCCGCGGCGCAUUAGCUAGUUGGUGAGGUAACGGCUCACCAAGGCGACGAUGCGUAGCCGACCUGAGAGGGUGAUCGGCCACACUGGGACUGAGACACGGCCCAGACUCCUACGGGAGGCAGCAGUAGGGAAUCUUCCGCAAUGGACGAAAGUCUGACGGAGCAACGCCGCGUGAGUGAUGAAGGUUUUCGGAUCGUAAAGCUCUGUUGUUAGGGAAGAACAAGUGCAAGAGUAACUGCUUGCACCUUGACGGUACCUAACCAGAAAGCCACGGCUAACUACGUGCCAGCAGCCGCGGUAAUACGUAGGUGGCAAGCGUUGUCCGGAAUUAUUGGGCGUAAAGGGCUCGCAGGCGGUUUCUUAAGUCUGAUGUGAAAGCCCCCGGCUCAACCGGGGAGGGUCAUUGGAAACUGGGAAACUUGAGUGCAGAAGAGGAGAGUGGAAUUCCACGUGUAGCGGUGAAAUGCGUAGAGAUGUGGAGGAACACCAGUGGCGAAGGCGACUCUCUGGUCUGUAACUGACGCUGAGGAGCGAAAGCGUGGGGAGCGAACAGGAUUAGAUACCCUGGUAGUCCACGCCGUAAACGAUGAGUGCUAAGUGUUAGGGGGUUUCCGCCCCUUAGUGCUGCAGCUAACGCAUUAAGCACUCCGCCUGGGGAGUACGGUCGCAAGACUGAAACUCAAAGGAAUUGACGGGGGCCCGCACAAGCGGUGGAGCAUGUGGUUUAAUUCGAAGCAACGCGAAGAACCUUACCAGGUCUUGACAUCCUCUGACAACCCUAGAGAUAGGGCUUUCCCUUCGGGGACAGAGUGACAGGUGGUGCAUGGUUGUCGUCAGCUCGUGUCGUGAGAUGUUGGGUUAAGUCCCGCAACGAGCGCAACCCUUGAUCUUAGUUGCCAGCAUUCAGUUGGGCACUCUAAGGUGACUGCCGGUGACAAACCGGAGGAAGGUGGGGAUGACGUCAAAUCAUCAUGCCCCUUAUGACCUGGGCUACACACGUGCUACAAUGGACAGAACAAAGGGCUGCGAGACCGCAAGGUUUAGCCAAUCCCACAAAUCUGUUCUCAGUUCGGAUCGCAGUCUGCAACUCGACUGCGUGAAGCUGGAAUCGCUAGUAAUCGCGGAUCAGCAUGCCCGCGGUGAAUACGUUCCCGGGCCUUGUACACACCGCCCGUCACACCACGAGAGUUUGCAACACCCGAAGUCGGUGAGGUAACCUUUAUGGAGCCAGCCGCCGAAGGUGGGGCAGAUGAUUGGGGUGAAGUCGACAAGGG
RNAcentral lists this ribosomal RNA (1497 nucleotides) under Bacillus sp. (in: firmicutes). Its description in RNAcentral is "bacterial SSU rRNA". It matches the Rfam family "Bacterial small subunit ribosomal RNA". The record is from RNAcentral. Lineage: Bacteria; Bacillati; Bacillota; Bacilli; Caryophanales; Bacillaceae.